RNAcentral lists this long non-coding RNA (1581 nucleotides) under Prunus persica (peach). Its description in RNAcentral is "long non-coding RNA (PPER_LNC004227)". Lineage: Eukaryota; Viridiplantae; Streptophyta; Magnoliopsida; Rosales; Rosaceae. The record is from RNAcentral.
UUAGAUAUCUUUUGGAUAUAAUAUGGCGACAUGUUAAUGAGUUCCACUUUAUUAUUAAAUUACAAGCCAAACAUAUAUUUUACCUAUUACACAACCUUGAUUGCUGAAGGCUUGAAGCUUCCUUUUACAAGUUCAAGGCUUGGAUCGGUUCUAAUUAAUGGGGGUGAAAUUGAUCAUCAACAAAAUAAUGGUGAGAAUCACUUUCAGAAGAACCAUGUCCGAAUUUACCAUAACUCUCGUUCGCAUCAUUGUUGUCAUCAUGCUUAGCCUCGUUGUUGUUAUUGUUUGUGGUUGGAGGCUGAGAUUGAUCCUUUGUGUCACUAUCAACAGCCUCACCAGUGCUUCGACCCUGCAGAUUUGGAUCAUUUUUCUGCUGAGCCAGGUGACGUUCAUGCAAAUUAUAUCUUUUAGCAUCAGCUUGCAAAGAAGCCAAGAUCAUCAUUUUUCUGCUUGGUUCUGUCCUCUCCAUUGUUUCAUAUGCAUCAUCCAUGGUGGCCAUGACACUGUAGCACAACCAUUAAGUAUGGCUUUUAUGGUGGAUCCAUAAUUUCUUAUCUGCUUUGCAAACAAUUUAAGUAAACCUUACCUGACUUGUAUAUGUUGACCUCUUAGAAUCGAACCCUGGAGUUCGAUGAGUUUAAUAGAAAAAGCUAAAGAGGGAAAAAAAAAAUUCCUGAAUUAAUCUAUAAAAUCAAGUUGUGUUUAUCCUAGGCCAAAUCAUUUGUUUUGUCGAACAUUUUCCCACGAGUCGAAUUCCCACGAGUCGAAGGACCUAUUACAAUUUACAAAUAUUUUGCUUGGUAAUAUAUUUUCUGGAAACAAGCCCUCUAUCAAAGCAGCUAAAAGAAUUAUAAACGAAAGUCGCUAUCAUCAAUAUCGUCACUAUCAUCAACAAGAAAACAUACCGUACAUAAUCUGUAAUAUACAAGGAGAGAAAUACAUAUAGUACUUUCUUAUAUUGAAAAUUUGACAUAAAAUACAAAAGUGGUACACUUAUAUAGAAUUUUUUUACCUUUUAGACGUUGACCCCUACAAGGGAAAUUCCUGGAUCCACCACUGGUCAUCUGCAGAACCACAAGCACAGGGGUGGGGGCGAAAUACUGUCUAAGGAAAUAGCAAAUCUAAUAGCCUCUAUCAUCUCUGCAAGUUAGUAUUUUUGUUUAAUACAAAUUCUUGUAUCUGUAUUUUAUGUUGUUAUAUACUGAUUCAUUUAAAAGCCUUAUAUAUAUAUAUAUAUAUUGGUAAAAUAUAAAGAUAAUUGAUAUAUUUACGGAAUUUCGAAAAUAAAACUUCACUAUAAAUUUGAAAUAAAUACAAUAAAAUAACGACAAGGAAAAUGUUAAGAAUACUUUAUAGAUGAUCGAGUCUAGAACUUAGUUCUAUAUCUUUAAGACGAAAUUGCCUUCUCACAGGUGCUUUUAGGAUUUUCUUGGCAAACGGCUCUCAGGAUACAACGAUCGACUUCUUCUUGAAGUAGCACUAUAGUCCCCAAGAAAAGCAAACUCAAACUUGUGUAUGAAUUAUCUCUUACUAACUCACUAUAUUUCUGAAAAUAUAAUGCUAUGAAUGCUCUAAAAACUA